RNAcentral lists this ribosomal RNA (1342 nucleotides) under uncultured bacterium. RNAcentral's name for it is "16S ribosomal RNA". It matches the Rfam family "Bacterial small subunit ribosomal RNA", at positions 28 to 1378 of the family's 1533-position model. The record is from RNAcentral.
GACGAACGCUGGCGGCGUGCUUAACACAUGCAAGUCGAACGGAAAGGCCCUGCUUUUGUGGGGUGCUCGAGUGGCGCACGGGUGAGUAACACGUGAGUAACCUGCCCUUGACUUUGGGAUAACUUCAGGAAACUGGGGCUAAUACCGGAUAGGAGCUCCUGCUGCAUGGUGGGGGUUGGAAAGUUUCGGCGGUUGGGGAUGGACUCGCGGCUUAUCAGCUUGUUGGUGGGGUAGUGGCUUACCAAGGCUUUGACGGGUAGCCGGCCUGAGAGGGUGACCGGCCACAUUGGGACUGAGAUACGGCCCAGACUCCUACGGGAGGCAGCAGUGGGGAAUAUUGCACAAUGGGCGGAAGCCUGAUGCAGCAACGCCGCGUGCGGGAUGACGGCCUUCGGGUUGUAAACCGCUUUCGCCUGUGACGAAGCGUGAGUGACGGUAAUGGGUAAAGAAGCACCGGCUAACUACGUGCCAGCAGCCGCGGUGAUACGUAGGGUGCGAGCGUUGUCCGGAUUUAUUGGGCGUAAGGGCUCGUAGGUGGUUGAUCGCGUCGGAAGUGUAAUCUUGGGGCUUAACCCUGAGCGUGCUUUCGAUACGGGUUGACUUGAGGUUUGUAGGGGAGAAUGGAAUUCCUGGUGGAGCGGUGGAAUGCGCAGAUAUCAGGAGGAACACCAGUGGCGAAGGCGGUUCUCUGGGCCUUUCCUGACGCUGAGGAGCGAAAGCGUGGGGAGCGAACAGGCUUAGAUACCCUGGUAGUCCACGCUGUAAACGGUGGGUACUAGGUGUGGGGUCCAUUCCACGGGUUCCGUGCCGUAGCUAACGCUUUAAGUACCCCGCCUGGGGAGUACGGCCGCAAGGCUAAAACUCAAAGGAAUUGACGGGGCCCCGCACAAGCGGCGGAGCAUGCGGAUUAAUUCGAUGCAACGCGUAGAACCUUACCUGGGUUUGACAUGGAUCGGGAGCGCUCAGAGAUGGGUGUGCCUCUUUUGGGGUCGGUUCACAGGUGGUGCAUGGCUGUCGUCAGCUCGUGUCGUGAGAUGUUGGGUUAAGUCCCGCAACGAGCGCAACCCUUGUUCACUGUUGCCAGCACGUUAUGGUGGGGACUCAGUGGAGACCGCCGGGGUCAACUCGGAGGAAGGUGGGGAUGACGUCAAGUCAUCAUGCCCCUUAUGUCCAGGGCUUCACGCAUGCUACAAUGGCUGGUACAGAGAGUGGCGAGCCUGUGAGGGUGAGCGAAUCUCGGAAAGCCGGUCUCAGUUCGGAUUGGGGUCUGCAACUCGACCUCAUGAAGUCGGAGUCGCUAGUAAUCGCAGAUCAGCAACGCUGCGGUGAAUACGUUCCCGGG